Molecule: ribosomal RNA, 292 nt
Filed under: uncultured prokaryote
Description: partial 16S ribosomal RNA
Rfam family: Bacterial small subunit ribosomal RNA
Source: RNAcentral
GUGCCAGCCGCCGCGGUAAUACGUAGGGUGCGAGCGUUGUCCGGAAUUAUUGGGCGUAAAGAGCUUGUAGGCGGUUUGUCGCGUCUGCUGUGAAAAUCCGAGGCUCAACCUCGGACUUGCAGUGGGUACGGGCAGACUAGAGUGUGGUAGGGGAGACUGGAAUUCCUGGUGUAGCGGUGAAAUGCGCAGAUAUCAGGAGGAACACCGAUGGCGAAGGCAGGUCUCUGGGCCACUACUGACGCUGAGAAGCGAAAGCAUGGGGAGCGAACAGGAUUAGAAACCCUCGUAGUCC